GGUGUCCCGUUCCCAAAGAAUUUCAUGUCUGUGGCAAAAACUAUACUCAAACGCCUCUUUAGGGUUUAUGCUCACAUUUAUCAUCAGCAUUUUGACCCUGUGAUCCAGCUUCAGGAGGAAGCACAUCUAAAUACAUCUUUCAAGCACUUUAUUUUUUUUGUCCAGUGCAGAAUCCUGAGGAGUCUGGAGAAUUCUAAGUUUGAAUCUGUUCUCCUGGUCGCUGUGAAAGUAUAUUUG
This 237-nucleotide long non-coding RNA is filed under the name Homo sapiens (human). RNAcentral's name for it is "HSALNT0073452". The record is from RNAcentral. Lineage: Eukaryota; Metazoa; Chordata; Mammalia; Primates; Hominidae.